CAUUGCACUCCGGCCUGGGCUACAAGAGCAAAAGUCUGUCUCAAAAAAUACCGGAAGCAAAGACAAAACACUGGACAGCUGGUCCCAGAUGAGGCCUGCCCUUUCCCGACUGAUUCUUUCUGAAUAAUGUCCACCUGUGCACUGGGACGAUGGCGUAGAACCUUGGGAAGUUUGCACCGUUUGCAGCGAGGAGGAGCCUGGCCUUUCCUGUUCCUGUGUGCUGACCUGGAACUCAAUCUGUGAGCUGGGAAACCUGCUAUCAGGACUCUCUCUUGUUUUGCUGAGAGUUAUUUUUCCUUUUUUCUUUUCAUCCAAUAAAUUCCAUUUUCCUCACCCUUCUAUGUGUCCGCAAGCCUCAUCUUUCCUGGUCGUGUGACAAGAGCCCAGUUUUACCUGAACUAAGGGGAACGUUCUGCAACAAUUUCUCCUUUGCUCCAACUGUUUGGACUCUGAGCCAUGUCCUCACUGCUGCCACUCACACUAGGGACCUGUUGCUCCCUGUGCCCAGGGUGCCCUUCCUCUUGUUUCUGGGUGGCUGACUCCUGCUGGCCCAAAGGGAUCCAGAUCAGGAUGGUGUGUUAGCACCUCUAAGAAGUACCCAAAAACACUCACCUCUUUCCCCCAUGGGAUGGGUGCCCCUCCAUGGGGCUCACGUGUCAUACUGCACCCUGACUCAUCACAUGUCAUUGUUCCUUUGUAUUAAUUUUCUGUGAUCUAUAGUGAGUUCCUUGAGGGCAGAGAAAGGACUUUUAUCUCUGCAUUACCACAGCCCACACUGGUUCUUAUCCAUCCAUCCACCCAUCCAUCCAACAGACAUUUAUUAAUCAACUACUCUCAGCCAAACACAAACAUCCAUCAUACAGCCCCAGGUCUUAGGAGUUUAUAGUUUAGUGGGCGAUAUAAACACGGAAAAUGGACUGUUAGAAAGUAUUCUGGUUAACAGAAAUGUGUAUGGGCAUUAGGUUAACCAAAGGGAGUAAUCAUUCCCACCUGGAGGUUGGCUGGGGAAAGGGCCCAUAUCAAAGGAGAGCCAGGCUGAAUCUUGAGGGAUAAGAAGAAGCUUGUGAGUGUACAAGGAAGGGAAGGGCAUUGCAGGCAGAGGGAGUAGGAAGAAGAAGAACAACAUAAACAGUGCUCAACACUGAACAUGAAUAGAGCAUUGGGGUUUGAGUCGGGAGAGGAGAGAGAGACAACUGGAGAGCACGCAGAGAACAAGGGAACUUUACCACAUUGCAGAGGGAGGACUUCACACACAGGCACCCAGGAGCUGGAACAGGUGGGCCACACAAAAGAACGCCGCUGAGGGGUUUCGGAGGUGGAUACUCUCGUCAGCAGGUUGCUGCCCUAGACGAAGUACAGAAAACUGUCCUCAUCCGGCCCGGGACGUCCCUGCAGCCCGAGUUCGCCAUGUCCCACUGCUGCCUGAACGGGAACCUGGAGCAGAGCUGUGAGGAGCAGCCAGAGAGCGCAGCGCGGCGGCCCAGGACCCUGGCCCAGUGACUCCCUGGCCGCCGCCUCCAGCAAGUUGCUCUUUUACCUUAUUCCUCAUCAGUUCAGAUUCUCUCACCAGGGGCAACCCCUAUUUUUGGAUUCUUGUGCCAGGACAUGUUAUUAAAUUUUUUUAAAAAGGUCA
Cercocebus atys (sooty mangabey) is the source of this 1633-nucleotide long non-coding RNA. RefSeq lists it as uncharacterized. The transcript is spliced from 2 exons. The record is from RefSeq and is a predicted model, not a curated record. Lineage: Eukaryota; Metazoa; Chordata; Mammalia; Primates; Cercopithecidae.